Molecule: ribosomal RNA, 377 nt
Filed under: uncultured bacterium
Lineage: Bacteria
Description: bacterial SSU rRNA
Rfam family: Bacterial small subunit ribosomal RNA
Source: RNAcentral
AGACGGAGACCCCAAGCGUUGUUCGGAAUUACUGGGCUUAAAGCGCGUGUAGGCGGAGCGGUAAGUAUCGUGUGAAAGCCCCGGGCUCAACCCGGGAAUUGCUUGGUAUACUGUCGCUCUUGAGGCAGGUAGGGGUUACUGGAACCUUAGGUGGAGCGGUGAAAUGCGUAGAUAUCUAAGGGAACGCCUGUGGCGAAGGCGGGUAACUGGGCCUGACCUGACGCUGAGACGCGAAAGCGUAGGGGGCGAACGGGAUUAGAUACCCCGGUAGUCUACGCCGUAAACGAUGCGCACUAGGUUCGAGAGGUUCUGACACCAUUCGUGCCGAAACAAAAGCGAUAAGUGCGCCGCCUGGGGAGUACGGCCGCAAGGUUAAA